GCAGCCACUCAUUCAAAGAGUGCGUAAUAGCUCACUGGUCGAGUGAUCCUGCGCCGAAGAUUUCCGGGGCUAAAACUUACUACCGAAGCUACGGCAUCAGUAAUGAUGGGUAGGGGAGCUUCCCAUACGGGUUGAAGCAUGACCGUAAGGACAUGUGGACAGUAUGGGAGUGAGAAUGUUGGCAUGAGUAGCGAGAUGUGGGUGAGAAUCCCACAGGCCGUAAACCCAAGGUUUCCAGGGGAAGGUUCGUCCGCCCUGGGUUAGUCGGGACCUAAGCUGAGGCCGAAAGGCGUAGGUGAUGGACAACAGGUUGAUAUUCCUGUACUACCGAUAACCAUUUGAGAGAAGGGAUGACACAGUAGGAUAAGCUAAGCACACUGUUGGUUAUGUGUGCCCAAGCAUUGAGGCAGUCAAAGCAGGCAAAUCCGCUUUGAUAAUGCUGGGAUGUGAUGGGGAGCGAAAUUUAGUAGCGAAGUAGCUGAUUUCACACUGUCAAGAAAAGUCUCUAUCGAGGUUAAAGGUACCCGUACCGCAAACCGACACAGGUGGGUGAGGAGAGUAUCCUAAGGCCAGCGAGAGAACUGUUGUUAAGGAACUCGGCAAAAUGACCCCGUAACUUAGGGAUAAGGGGUGCCACCAUCCGGUGGCCGCAGAGAAUAGGCUCAAGCGACUGUUUACCAAAAACAUAGGUUUCUGCUAAGUCGCAAGACGAUGUAUAGGAGCUGACGCCUGCCCGGUGCUGGAAGGUUAAGGGGAUCUGUUAGAGCAAUCGAAGCAGUGAACUUAAGCC
This 790-nucleotide ribosomal RNA is filed under the name Clostridioides difficile. Its description in RNAcentral is "bacterial LSU rRNA". It matches the Rfam family "Bacterial large subunit ribosomal RNA", at positions 1112 to 1919 of the family's 2925-position model. The record is from RNAcentral. Lineage: Bacteria; Bacillati; Bacillota; Clostridia; Peptostreptococcales; Peptostreptococcaceae.